AGGAUUCCCCUAGUAACGGCGAGUGAAGAGGGAAGAGCUCAAAUUUUGAAUCUGGCGUCUUUGGCGUCCGAAUUGUAAUCUAGAGAAGUGUUUUCCGUGACGGACCGUGCAUAAGUCUCCUGGAAUGGAGCGUCAUGGAGGGUGAGAAUCCCGUAUAUGGCACGGACUCCCGUUGCUCUGUGAUACACUCUCGACGAGUCGAGUUGUUUGGGAAUGCAGCUCUAAACGGGUGGUAAAUGCCAUCUAAAGCUAAAUAUUGGCGAGAGACCGAUAGCGAACAAGUACCGUGAGGGAAAGAUGAAAAGCACUUUGGAAAGAGAGUGAAACAGUACGUGAAAUUGUUGAAAGGGAAACGCUUGAAGUCAGUCGCGCCGUUCGGGAUUCAGCCUUGCUUUUGCUUGGUUUACUUCCCGUUGGGUGGGUCAACAUCAGUUUUGGUCGGAGGAGAAAGGCUUGGGGAAGGUGGCAGCAUUCGUGCUGUGUUAUAGCCCCUUGUUGUAUACUUCGACUGGGACUGAGGACCGCAGCACGCCUCUGGCCGGGGUUCGCCCACGUACGUGCUUAGGAUGUUGGCAUAAUGGCUUUAAGCGACCCGUCUUGAAACACGGACCA
Molecule: ribosomal RNA, 612 nt
Filed under: uncultured Sebacinaceae
Lineage: Eukaryota; Fungi; Basidiomycota; Agaricomycetes; Sebacinales; Sebacinaceae
Description: eukaryotic LSU rRNA
Rfam family: Eukaryotic large subunit ribosomal RNA
Source: RNAcentral